AUUGAACGCUGGCGGCAGGCUUAACACAUGCAAGUCGAGCGGGGUGAUGGUGCUUGCACUAUCACUUAGCGGCGGACGGGUGAGUAAUGCUUAGGAAUCUGCCUAUUAGUGGGGGACAACAUCUCGAAAGGGAUGCUAAUACCGCACACGUCCUACGGGAGAAAGCAGGGGAUCACUUGUGACCUUCAGCUAAUAGAUGAGCCUAAGUCGGAUUAGCUAGUUGGUGGGGUAAAGGCCUACCAAGGCGACGAUCUGUAGCGGGUCUGAGAGGAUGAUCCGACACACUGGGACUGAGACACGGCCCAGACUCCUACGGGAGGCAGCAGUGGGGAAUAUUGGACAAUGGGGGGAACCCUGAUCCAGCCAUGCCGCGUGUGUGAAGAAGGCCUUAUGGUUGUAAAGCACUUUAAGCGAGGAGGAGGCUCUUUUGGUUAAUACCCAAGAUGAGUGGACGUUACUCGCAGAAUAAGCACCGGCUAACUCUGUGCCAGCCGCCGCAGUAA
This 503-nucleotide ribosomal RNA is filed under the name uncultured bacterium. RNAcentral's name for it is "partial 16S ribosomal RNA". It matches the Rfam family "Bacterial small subunit ribosomal RNA", at positions 30 to 523 of the family's 1533-position model. The record is from RNAcentral.